This 497-nucleotide ribosomal RNA is filed under the name uncultured bacterium. Its description in RNAcentral is "partial 16S ribosomal RNA". It matches the Rfam family "Bacterial small subunit ribosomal RNA", at positions 28 to 507 of the family's 1533-position model. The record is from RNAcentral.
GAUGAACGCUGGCGGCGUGCCUAAUACAUGCAAGUCGAGCGAACAGACGAGGAGCUUGCUCCUCUGACGUUAGCGGCGGACGGGUGAGUAACACGUGGAUAACCUACCUAUAAGACUGGGAUAACUUCGGGAAACCGGAGCUAAUACCGGAUAACAUGUUGAACCGCAUGGUUCAACAGUGAAAGACGGUCUUGCUGUCACUUAUAGAUGGAUCCGCGCCGCAUUAGCUAGUUGGUAAGGUAACGGCUUACCAAGGCAACGAUGCGUAGCCGACCUGAGAGGGUGAUCGGCCACACUGGAACUGAGACACGGUCCAGACUCCUAUGGGAGGCAGCAGUAGGGAAUCUUCCGCAAUGGGCGAAAGCCUGACGGAGCAACGCCGCGUGAGUGAAGAAGGUCUUCGGAUCGUAAAACUCUGUUAUUAGGGAAGAACAAAUGUGUAAGUAACUAUGCACGUCUUGACGGUACCUAAUCAGAAAGCCACGGCUAACUACGUG